GACGAACGCUGGCGGCGUGCUUAACACAUGCAAGUCGAACGGAAAGGCCCUGCUUUUGUGGGGUGCUCGAGUGGCGAACGGGUGAGUAACACGUGAGUAACCUGCCCUUGACUUUGGGAUAACUUCAGGAAACUGGGGCUAAUACCGGAUAGGAGCUCCUGCUGCAUGGUGGGGGUUGGAUAGUUUCGGCGGUUGGGGAUGGGCUCGCGGCUUAUCAGCUUGUUGGUGGGGUAGUGGCUUACCAAGGCUUUGACGGGUAGCCGGCCUGAGAGGGUGACCGGCCACAUUGGGACUGAGAUACGGCCCAGACUCCUACGGGAGGCGGCAGUGGGGAAUAUUGCACAAUGGGCGGAAGCCUGAUGCAGCAACGCCGCGUGCGGGAUGACGGCCUUCGGGUUGUAAACCGCUUUCGCCUGUGACGAAGCGUGAGUGACGGUAAUGGGUAAAGAAGCACCGGCUAACUACGUG
RNAcentral lists this ribosomal RNA (468 nucleotides) under uncultured bacterium. Its description in RNAcentral is "partial 16S ribosomal RNA". It matches the Rfam family "Bacterial small subunit ribosomal RNA", at positions 28 to 507 of the family's 1533-position model. The record is from RNAcentral.